RNAcentral lists this ribosomal RNA (279 nucleotides) under uncultured bacterium. RNAcentral's name for it is "partial 16S ribosomal RNA". It matches the Rfam family "Bacterial small subunit ribosomal RNA", at positions 506 to 784 of the family's 1533-position model. The record is from RNAcentral.
UGCCAGCAGCCGCGGUAAUACGGAGGGGGUUAGCGUUGUUCGGAAUCACUGGGCUUAAAGAGUGCGUAGGCGGCUUAGAAAGUUGGGUGUGAAAGCCCUCGGCUCAACCGAGGAAUUGCGCUCAAAACUACUAAGCUUGAGGGAGGCAGAGGUAAGCGGAACUAAUGGUGGAGCGGUGAAAUGCGUUGAUAUCAUUAGGAACACCUGAGGCGAAAGCAGCUUGCUGGGUCUCUUCUGACGCUGAGGCACGAAAGCUAGGGGAGCAAACAGGAUUAGAUA